UAUGCAGAUACUUUAUAAUUUGGAUUAAAUAAAUGAGCAUGACAGGAUAUUCUGAUGAUGGUUGUGAAAUGAUUGUGUGACACCCUUCGGGGCAUAAUUACUCUGAUUGAUAUGUUGCUAUUUUAAUUGAAAUAUUUGGGGUAUUUUAGAAGGGUGUUACAUUAGUGGUAUCAGAGCAUAGUCGGUCGUGUCGAGUCGUAAUUAUUUUGUUU
This 212-nucleotide long non-coding RNA is filed under the name Lathyrus oleraceus (garden pea). Its description in RNAcentral is "Pisum sativum (pea) long non-coding RNA (PSAT_LNC016479)". Lineage: Eukaryota; Viridiplantae; Streptophyta; Magnoliopsida; Fabales; Fabaceae. The record is from RNAcentral.